AGACCUUUAGUUUGAACCCCGAAACCAGGUGAGCUACCCCGAGACAGCCUAUAUUGAUUUAGGGCUAACCCGUCUCUGUGGCAAAAGAGUGGGAAGAGCUCCGGGUAGAAGUGACAGACCUACCGAACCUGGUGAUAGCUGGUUGCCUGAGAAGUGGAUAGAAGUUCAGCCUCGCACACCCCAAGCCAGAGAAUACACCGCUAAGGCACUCAGGGAAAUGUGGGAGAGUUAGUUAAAGGGGGUACAGCCCCUUUAACAAAGGAUACAACCUUUGCAGGAGGAUAAAGAUCAUAAUAUAUAAAACAUGCUGCUCUAGUGGGCCUAAAGGCAGCCACCUAAACAGAAAGCGUUAAAGCUCAGGCAGAAAGAAGUUUAUUAUACCGAUAAAAAAUCUUACUCCCCUAAUUAUAUCAGGCCAGCCCAUGCCAACAUGGAAGAGAUUAUGCUAAAAUGAGUAACAAGAAGACCUGCUCUUCUCCCAGCACAAGUGUAAGCCAGAUCGGACUAACCACUGGAACUUAACGAACCCAACCCAAGAGGGUAGUGUGAAUAGUACAGACCCCAAGAAGAACUCACAACUAAACAAUCGUUAACCCCACACUGGAGUGCUAUUAUAAAGGAAAGACUAAAAGAGGGGGAAGGAACUCGGCAAACACAAGCCUCGCCUGUUUACCAAAAACAUCGCCUCCUGCAACUAUAUUGAGUAUAGGAGGUCCAGCCUGCCCAGUGACUACGGGUUCAACGGCCGCGGUAUUUUGACCGUGCAAAGGUAGCGCAAUCACUUGUCUCUUAAAUAGAGACCUGUAUGAAUGGCUAGACGAGGGCUUAACUGUCUCCCCCCUCCAGUCAGUGAAAUUGAUCUAUCCGUGCAGAAGCGGGUAUAAUUAUACAAGACGAGAAGACCCUUUGGAGCUUAAGGUACAAAAUCCAACCACGUUAAACGACCCCCUAAAGGGCAAGAACUUAGUGGCCAAUGAAGUUUUACCUUCGGUUGGGGCGACCACGGAGGAGAAAAAAGCCUCCGAGUGGACUGGGUUAAAACCCAAAGCUAAGAGAUACAUCUCUAAGCCGCAGAACAUCUGACCAAAAGUGAUCCGGCUAAAAAGCCGAUCAACGAACCAAGUUACCCUAGGGAUAACAGCGCAAUCCUCUCCCAGAGUCCAUAUCGACGAGGGGGUUUACGACCUCGAUGUUGGAUCAGGACAUCCUAAUGGUGCAGCCGCUAUUAAGGGU
Molecule: ribosomal RNA, 1233 nt
Filed under: Alburnus tarichi (tarek)
Lineage: Eukaryota; Metazoa; Chordata; Actinopteri; Cypriniformes; Leuciscidae
Description: partial large subunit ribosomal RNA
Rfam family: Bacterial large subunit ribosomal RNA
Source: RNAcentral